CAUAUCGAUAUCUUUAUUGAUAAUACAUCUUCAGAUUGUUGGCAUUUCAUGUUCAGAGAAUCGUCGACCCUUUGAGAGUUUCUAGCCGAUAUGCGUCUGGUCUAAGAGUUUCCGAUAUUUUGUAAGGUCCUUCCCAGUUCGGGGAUAAUUUUUCUUGAUCCAGGAAUUUUGAGACUUCUGCUUUUCUUAAGACCAAAUCUUUUGAUCGAAAGACCUUCGAUUUGACUCUUGCGUUGUAAUACCGGACUAUCUUUUGUCGAUAUGCAGCCAUCCGAACUUGAGCUUGCUGUCGGAGUUUUGAGAGGAGAUCUAAGUCGGUUCUCCGACAUUCAAAGUUGCUCGGCUCACUAUAUUGCUUUACUCUUGUUGACGGCAAUCUGAUCUCAAGCGGUAUCAUUGCUUCUGUCCCAUAAGCUAAGUUGAAAGGAGAUUCUCCAGUUGGUAUGCGGGGAGUCGUUCGAUACGCCCAUAAGAUCGGAUAUAAUUCUUCUAUCCAGAGGUCUUUGGCUUCAUUUAGUCGGAUUUUUAGUCCGU
This 534-nucleotide long non-coding RNA is filed under the name Elaeis guineensis (African oil palm). RNAcentral describes it as "long non-coding RNA (EGUI_LNC025635)". Lineage: Eukaryota; Viridiplantae; Streptophyta; Magnoliopsida; Arecales; Arecaceae. The record is from RNAcentral.